RNAcentral lists this ribosomal RNA (433 nucleotides) under uncultured bacterium. RNAcentral's name for it is "partial 16S ribosomal RNA". It matches the Rfam family "Bacterial small subunit ribosomal RNA", at positions 29 to 507 of the family's 1533-position model. The record is from RNAcentral.
AACGAACGCUGGCGGCAUGCCUAACACAUGCAAGUCGAACGAGACCUUCGGGUCUAGUGGCGCACGGGUGCGUAACGCGUGGGAACCUGCCCUUAGGUUCGGAAUAACUCCCCGAAAGGGGUGCUAAUACCGGAUAAUGUCUUCGGACCAAAGAUUUAUCGCCUUUGGAUGGGCCGGCGUUGGAUUAGCUAGUUGGUAGGGUAAAAGCCUACCAAGGCGACGAUCCAUAGCUGGUCUGAGAGGAUGAUCAGCCACACUGGGACUGAGACACGGCCCAGACUCCUACGGGAGGCAGCAGUGGGGGAUAUUGGACAAUGGGCGAAAUCCUGAUCCAGCAAUGCCGGGUGAGUGAUGAAGGCCUGAGGGUUGUAAAGCUCUUUUACCCGGGAUGAUAAUGACAGUACCGGGAGAAUAAGCUCCGGCUAACUCCGUG